RNAcentral lists this ribosomal RNA (253 nucleotides) under uncultured bacterium. RNAcentral's name for it is "partial 16S ribosomal RNA". It matches the Rfam family "Bacterial small subunit ribosomal RNA", at positions 524 to 776 of the family's 1533-position model. The record is from RNAcentral.
UACGAAGGGGGCUAGCGUUGCUCGGAAUUACUGGGCGUAAAGGGUGUGUAGGCGGAUACUUAAGUCGGGGGUGAAAGCCCAGGGCUCAACCCUGGAAUAGCCUUCGAUACUGGGUAUCUUGAGUUCGGGAGAGGUAAGCGGAACUCCGAGUGUAGAGGUGAAAUUCGUAGAUAUUCGGAAGAACACCAGUGGCGAAGGCGGCUUACUGGCCCGAUACUGACGCUGAGACACGAAAGCGUGGGGAGCAAACAGG